GAGGAGGGUGGGCCCCACUUAACCAAAAAUAUGUUCUCCAUGUGAAAGCAGGGCAGCAAUGCUGGCCAAACAAAAAUCUUUAUUUCUUAAAUGAGGCUUGAAGAAUAUACCUGUCUGUUGCCUCCCACUAUCGCUUUUUCCUUCUUCCAUCCUAAUAUCCUGUUUGGAUUGUGGUGGAUGUUAGUGCUUUUCAUCAGUAUUUCCUUGUCUCUUUUCCUUUGGGACACACGGGAGGAUUGUGCUUUAUUGCCUUCUAGAGGUUAGGCACAGACAUAGGACUUGCUUUGGCUAAUGAAAUCUGCACAGCAGUAACAUGUCAUUUCUAGGUGGAAGCUUACAGGACUGGGGCAUGGAUCUCCAAGCUCUCUCCUCGCCUGCCACGAUGAAACUUGUGUUGGUUUAGGGGGGCCACAUGUUCAGCCUAGAUCACUGAGCCAACUUGUGGAGAACAGCUGCCCUGCAAAGUCAUCCUGAAUCUCAGUGGACUUUAUGUGCAGUUAAAGGAGGAAAGCAACAUGCCGUGUCCUCACCAGGACUCUGGAUAAGUGUCCUAGUCUAAGCACUGUCAGACUCGCAGCCACUCAGCCCGUCUCUCCACUGUGCCUCACGUCGGGGAUAAGCUGCUUCUCACUGUAAAGGGCUUGGUCCCAAGAAAUCGGCUCCUGACUCUACCUUGAUCUUGCAUCCUAUUCAUAUUUUCUUUAAAAAGAGAAGUGAGCUGUAAAACAGCCUCAGGCAGGUCCUUCAGGAGGUGUUCCAGAAGAAGGCAUUGUUGUCAUAGGAGAUGACAGCUUCAUGCCUGUUAUUGCACCUAAAGACCUUCCAGUGGGACAAGAUGUGGCGUUAGAAGACAGUGAUAUUGAUGAUCCUGACCUGUGUAGG
Non-coding RNA from Microcebus murinus (gray mouse lemur), 882 nucleotides. The record is from RefSeq and is a predicted model, not a curated record. Lineage: Eukaryota; Metazoa; Chordata; Mammalia; Primates; Cheirogaleidae.